RNAcentral lists this ribosomal RNA (327 nucleotides) under Salmonella enterica subsp. enterica serovar Braenderup. Its description in RNAcentral is "bacterial LSU rRNA". It matches the Rfam family "Bacterial large subunit ribosomal RNA", at positions 454 to 783 of the family's 2925-position model. Lineage: Bacteria; Pseudomonadati; Pseudomonadota; Gammaproteobacteria; Enterobacterales; Enterobacteriaceae. The record is from RNAcentral.
CAUCCUCCAAGGCUAAAUACUCCUGACUGACCGAUAGUGAACCAGUACCGUGAGGGAAAGGCGAAAAGAACCCCGGCGAGGGGAGUGAAAAAGAACCUGAAACCGUGUACGUACAAGCAGUGGGAGCACCCUUUUGGGUGUGACUGCGUACCUUUUGUAUAAUGGGUCAGCGACUUAUAUUCUGUAGCAAGGUUAACCGCAUAGGGGAGCCGGAGGGAAACCGAGUCUUAACCGGGCGUUAAGUUGCAGGGUAUAGACCCGAAACCCGGUGAUCUAGCCAUGGGCAGGUUGAAGGUUGGGUAACACUAACUGGAGGACCGAACCGAC